AUUCCAGCUCCAAUAGCGUAUAUUAAUGUUGUUGCAGUUAAAAAGCUCGUAGUUGGAUUUCUGCGCCGCGCAACUCGGUCCGCUGCACUGCAGUGUGAUGUGUGGUUGGAGCGUCGCAUCCUUGUGGGGACUGUUUGUGUCAUUAAUUUGAUGGAUUCCGGAACCGCAUCGUUUACUGUGAAAAAAUUAGAGUGUUCAAAGCAGGCUUAUGCCGUGAAUACAUUAGCAUGGAAUAACGAAUGGGUCUACAAUUUGGUUGAUUGUAGAUUGCGAUUAAUAGGGACAGUUGGGGGCAUUAGUAUUUAAUUGUCAGAGGUGAAAUUCUUGGAUUAGUUAAAGACUAACGUAUGCGAAAGCAUUUGCCAAGGAUGUUUUCAUUG
This 380-nucleotide ribosomal RNA is filed under the name Stramenopiles sp. MAST-3J. RNAcentral describes it as "partial small subunit ribosomal RNA". It matches the Rfam family "Eukaryotic small subunit ribosomal RNA", at positions 582 to 975 of the family's 1831-position model. The record is from RNAcentral.